UCAUAUCACAAUCUCUCUCUCUCUCUAUUCAAAAUCGCUCACCAUAAUCGAAAGUUUGCACCUUCUUGUCAAGAAAUCUGCUGCGCCACUGCGACUCUGAAAAUCCAGCGACGUCGUGUCUUCCUCUGGAAUCGACAUCCCUCACUCUUCCUCUGGAAUCGACAUCCCUCACCAAUCAUUGUCACACACUGAGGUCUUCGCUUUCAAAUGAUCGCCUCUGCUUUUAGGAUUUUCGGCGAGGCUAGUUGGCGUCGCCGACCGAAUUCGGCGUGCGACCGACCAAGAAUGACCGGCGACCACUGCCCGAUUUUGAGAAGGAGGCUGUGGUCAACCAUGACUUUGAGAAGAUGGAGGGCAUGGAACGGCGGCCAAUCGCCGGUCUUGUAGAGGCGGCAAUUGGACUGGCUGUGGACGGAGUUCUCGAUCGAACUGGCUGUGGACGGAGUUUUCGUCAAAUUGAAUGAGCAAUUUUAGAAUUUAGGGGAUAUUCAUGCGUCCAGUAAAUCUGAAUAUAUCUGUUCAUUUAGAUAUUGUGUUCUGUUCAUUUAUAAAUUAUUUUCUGUUCA
Molecule: long non-coding RNA, 566 nt
Organism: Salvia miltiorrhiza (redroot sage)
Lineage: Eukaryota; Viridiplantae; Streptophyta; Magnoliopsida; Lamiales; Lamiaceae
Exons: 2
Source: RefSeq, a predicted model, not a curated record